UGAAGACGAGGACACGAUGGCCGCAUGAGGAAGUGAUGUCAGGACGCUCUGCAAAGCAGGAAGAAGGCCAUGGAGUCCUUUUUGACUUUGGGAGUUUCCACCGAGGAGGCGGGACAACACCUGAGCGAGGUGUGUCAGCAACUUCCAACCUGAUGACACUUUAAUUAUCUUGUUCUCUUUAUGACAUGUAAUGACUCCAUGUCAUGUAUGACCGCGCUCCACAAGGUGGCGCUAUGUGCAAUAAUGACGUGCCAGGCGUUUAGCCACAUUAGCUGAGCUUGCCCGACGCUAUACUGUAAGUAGCGCAUCAGUCCUUAGCAUUUUUGACACAAACGUAAUCCCUUUAAAUGUUUGUACUCGCUAGCCCCCGAGGCACAUGGUAGCAUCUACAUGUUAGCGUGUUUCUUUCACAACAUUCUAACGAGCACAUCUGUCACAACCAGGCCUGCUACCGAGGCUAAGCACUGUUAGCCUAGCACAAAGUGUUACCUUUCGUUGUCUUCCAGCAGCCUCCAGCAGGGGGCGCCAUGUUUACACCACUCACACAGCCCUGCAUAAAGUGCUAGCAUCACAGCAACAACAUGGCCAUAUACAGUAUGAUCUUUUUUACAGGGUUGGAAGGGCAGAGGGUGGGGCCCGCAAUUUGAGACAGCUUUUUUUUUUUUUACGAGGAGGAAAUGAGCCAUAAACAUGACAAUAACCGGAGUGACAAUAAAACAAAAGUGUUUGUUCACACACUUCCAAGUACUGCAUGUACACAACGUGUUGUCUUUGUGCUGAGCCUAGCCCUUCAAAACAAGUUCUUGCACGUUUAUGUCGAGUAUUACGGUAGAAGGCCGUUUUCAAAAUAUACUGGCUAUUUGUUUGGAGCAGACUACAGAUUUAAAGGCUUGGACCACCAAUGUUGAAGGGCCUUUUAUUUGGAAAUGCCACAAUCAAACUGGAGGGGGGGUGUUCUUUACAUGUUUCCUGUUCUAUGGUAAUCGUCACACUUAUGUUUUGGAUUCCUACUUAAAGGUUGUGUGACCUGAUUUCACGUUCUUGGUUCAGUUGAAUUAUUUUGAUUUAAAGUAACAGAUGAUGGUUAGUUUCACAUAUAAGAUUUCAGGGGCUUUUGUUGUGAAAUUGCACAACUGAAUGGCUACUUCCUGGGUGACACGGAGAGCCGGUCUUCUUUGUGUGUGUCCUAAGUGGAAUCUUCUUAUCAUUCACGUGGCAUCUGAGGGCAGUAUAGACGAGGAAGACGCUCCAGGCGCUGAGCGACAUUCCCGGGAUUCCUUGCAUCAUUCCUUCGUGGCUUCCUGUCUAACAGGUGCAGUGAGCCGGCUCGGUGCAUUUCAGGCGUUCGCUAUGGCUGAGUGUCUUCGCAGGAUCUGUCCUGCUCUGUGGUCCAAGGUCCACGGGGACAAGAAGUCUCCACCACAGGCAGCGGAGGACGGAGACAAACAACAACAGCAGCAGCAACAGAACCCGGAAGCGCCCCCUGAGUCACCAGCAGAGGCGGAGGAUGGAAGCACCUUCAAGGCCAUGUGGGACUUCCAGGGCAGGAGCCGCAACGAGCUCAGCUUCCAGGCGGGGGACUUGUUCAGGGUCCAAAGCCGCAUUGACGACUGGUGGACGGUGGACAGGAUAGACGAGACCGGCAGCGUCCUGGACACCGGCCUGGUGCCCGGUAACUACCUGGAAAAGAAGGAAGACAUUCUGGAAGAGGAACCGUGGUAUUUUGGCAAUAUGAACCGCUCAGAAGCCCAAAGUCACCUCAUGGUACCAGAAAACGAGCCGGGAGCGUUCCUGGUCCGCUCCAGUGAGAACCAUCCGGGCUACGUCCUCUCAGUGCGGUCCAGCUGUCGAGUAAAGCACUUUAAGAUCAUCCAAACACCAGAAGGUCAAUUUGACCUGGACCGCAUCAAUCAGUUCAGCUCACUGAGACACCUGGUGGCACACUACUGCAACAACUGCCUCAACAACCUGGACAAGCUGGGAAAGCCUUGCCGGAGGAAAACCACAGCACCAGAGAUCAACUUCCCAGACGACCAGUGGGAGCUUCCCAAAGAGGAGUUCACCUUGGAGGACAAGUUGGGCAGCGGCUACUUUUCUGACGUCUAUCGAGGAUGCUGGAAGUCUCGCAUUCGCGUGGCCAUCAAGAUCAUCAAGAACGGGUUUUUUGAAGCUGUGGUGGUGGGCUGCAUGGGAGGGUGGACUGGCGCCACUUCAAAUUCCGAGGUGAACCACUCAGAGUUCCAGCGGGAGGUUCAGAUCCUGAAAAGUCUUCGCCAUCGUCACCUCAUCUCGCUGUUCGCCAUCUGCACCGCCUCGUCGCCGUACUACAUUGUCACCGAGCUGAUGGAGAAGGGAAGUCUGCUCGACCUCCUCAGAACUCCUGAGGGCAAACAGCAGGACAUGAUGUCCCUGGUGGACAUGGCUUCCCAGGUGGCUGACGGGAUGUCCUACCUGGAGGAGCAUGAAUUGGUCCACAGAGACUUGGCGGCCCGGAAUGUUUUGGUAGGAGAAGACUACAUCUGCAAGGUGGCCGACUUUGGCCUGACCCAAGUCAUCAAGGAGCCCAUCUAUCUCACCUACCAGAAGGCCAUCCCCUACAAGUGGACCGCUCCGGAGGCCAUCAGCCACAGCAACACACCCUUCUCCAUCAAGUCGGACGUCUGGUCUUUUGGCAUCCUGCUCUAUGAGAUAGUCACCUACGGAGGCGUCCCCUAUCCAGGUAUGAACGGGAAGGAAGCCCACGAGCUGGUCGUCAAAGGCUACAGGAUGCCGUCUCCGUCCAAUUGUCCAAAAUUCCUCCACCAAAUGAUGUUGAAAUGCUGGAGCGCCGAGCCCGCAGAGAGGCCGUUUUUCACAGACCUAAAGAUCGAACUGGAAGCCACCUACGAGAUCGAGUGAUAGCACAGCACCGCCACAGGGGGGCGGCAGAGUCAACCCAAAAAUACUUUUCAACAAGUGUGCAUUAGUGUACAAUACAAAGUACACUUGAACAAUCAUUUUUAAACAUACGGUGGUGUGACAGAGUAUUUGCACCCUUCCUGAGUUCUUUUUAUUUUUUUGCAUAUUUGUACACAAAUGUAAAUAUUAGUCAAUGACAACACAACUGAACACAAAAUGCAGUUUUUUAAAUUAAACUUUUCGUUAUUAAGGGAGAACAAAAAUCCAAAUCUACACGGCCCUGUGUGAAAAAGUGAUUGCCCCUCCUGUUAAAACAACUAUGAUUAAUUGACAUCUAUCGAUGUGGUAAAGGUUAUUAAGCCAUUUCUAAGGCUUUGGGACUCCAGAAAACCACAGUGAGAGCCAUUAUUCACAAAUGGUGAAAACAUGGAACACUGGUGAACCUUCCCAGGAGUGGCCGGCCAACCAAAAUGACCCCAAGAGUGCAGCGAAGACUCAUCCAAGAGGUCACAAAAGGCCCCACAACAACAUCCAACUUGCCUCAGUUAAGGUCAGUGUUCAUGACUCCACCAUAAGAAAGACACUGGGCAAAAACAACCUGCAUGGCAGAGUUCCAAGACCAAAACCACUGCUGAACAAAAACAACAUUAAGGCUCGUCUCAAUUUUGCCAGAAAACAUCUUGAUGAUCCCCAAGACCUUUGGGAAAAUACUCUGUGGUCUGACGAGACAAAAGUUGAACUUUUUGGAAGGUGUGUGUCCCAUUACAUCUGGUGUAAAAGUAAAAAGAACAUCAUAGCAACAGUAAAACAUGGUGGUGGUAGUGUGAUGGUCUUCAAGACCUGGAAGACUUGCUGUGAUAAAUGGAAGCAUGAAUUGUGCUGAAGGAGAAUGUCCGGUCAUCUGUUGGUGACCUCAAGCUGAAAGCAACUUGGGUUCUGCAGCAGGACAAUGAUCCAAAACACACCAGCAAGUCCACCUCUGAAUGGAUGAAGACUUUGGAGUGGUCUAGUCCAAGUCCUGACCUGAACCCUAUUGAGAUGCUGUGGCAUGACCUUAAAAAGGAAAAGCCUCCAAUGUGACUGAAUGACAACAAUUGUGUAAAAUUCCUCCCCAGCGCUGGAAGAGACUCAUUGCAAGUUAUCACAAACGCUUGAUUGCAGUUGUUGCUGCUAAGGGGGGCCAACCACUUAUUAGCUUUAGGGGGCCAUCACUUUUUCACACAGGGACAUGUAGCUUUGGAUGUUUUUUCUCCCGUAAUAAUAAAAAGUUUCAUUUAAAAACUGCAUUUUGUGUUGUCAUUGACUAAUAUUUCCAUUUGUUUGAUGAUCUGAAACAUUUAAGUGUGACAAACAUGCAACAAAUCAGGAAGAGGCAAACUCUUUUCCACACCAGUGUAUGUAUUAACCUCUACGCCUAUGGCUGUCAUGUCUGUAAAUAGCUACUGUAUACAUACUGUAACUGUGUGUGUGUUUAACAUGGUUGCUAGCCCGCUAUUAAGUGGGUCACGUUGACAGUUGACCUCCAUUCAAAGCACACACGUUUAACUUAAACGUACAUUAUCGUCAUGCAUCAUGCAUACUCGGAAAUGACAAAGGAAGUUGUCAGCACUUUGCUGAAAUUGGCGCUCAUUCACCACAGCGACAAUAAAGUCAAAACGUGCAAGGUCGCAUUGUUUUUAUUCACAUUUCAUGGCUGAAGUUUAAAACUAUGCGCUCACACACUUAUUUAUCUGAGAGCACACUUGGCCUCCUAACACAGAUACACACACGCACACACACGCCUAUGUCUAUGUACAGACUGUCUAUGUACUGUAUGUCUAUGUAUACACCCUCAUACACAAGCUGAUGCUUGUCCCACAUUUUGACCCACUGACAUGUCUAUUUGUGUUAGUGUGUAUGUAGGCAUGUCCUGUGUGUGUGUGUGUGUGUGUUGCCAGUCAUGAUUCAGCAUCCUUGGCUCAGUGACAAAGUGGUCCAUCGAGUUCAGACGUGCAAACAAGCCAACACUGACACACAACACACGAACUCCUUCUUUUCUGUGACCUUCACAGUAUGACCUCCAAAGAUGAGUUCUUAAAGGUCCAAAUAGAAGCGUGGUGUUGUCCCAUAAAACAACCUUAUUGGGUGUCAUAAGUCCCUGAGAUCACAGGACACAGGAUCAACAUCCGACGACACCAUGACCAGCGUUUGUGCCCCCGCCUGCCUGCUGGCCUGCAAACACCUUGACAGCAGUAAGGAAAGGACGCAGCAGAGACACUUCGUCCUCUCUCGUCUCACCGAGCGACUCUUGGACACGACAUCGCAGACUGACCGAAACCAGCGGCGGGUCACGCUGUGGGUCGGCAUGGCGGCGCCCCCAGGGCCCGCAGAUGCAAGCGCAGGUCUGAAGAUCCAUGUGGUUGUCGAAGCCGGCCGUCGGGUGAAGCAAAGCAAACGCACCUCGUCAAUGCAAUGAUGGCUCUCUUCGACCAAUCAGGAUGCAGGUGGCAAAUGGUGAACAUGUCUUCCUCUUGGGGACGUUUCCACUGCCGUGUUUGUCUUUCCUGUGUGUGUGUGUGUGUGUGUGUGUGGCGUCAACAGGGAAACAUUCCUCUGAUGUUCCACUCUUCGUGGAGGUCAAUUUGUCAUGAUAUCAUGAUAUCAUCACGAUAGAUCAAACCUGUCGUGCGCCACUUACAGACGUUCUACAGGCACCGUCAUGUGGACUGUCGCCAUGGCAUUUGCCUUAAAUAUUAGGUACACCAUCAGACAUGUGUUUUGUACAGAUUCAUAUAAUAUUGACACUUUUCUAGUUGUACUUUUGUUAUACGGUGGUUAGGUUGUAUCCAUGGUUUGAUCCUGGAACAGAUGAUUCAUAUUUCCUGUGGGAACAUGUUUUAGUUGAGUCAUGUGACACUAACUAGUCCACUUCAAGAUGCAACAAUCGACUUUAUUGCAUUUACUUUCCAACCAGGGUGACAAAGUGAAAAAGUGUGUAGGUGAGUGCAUUAGUGUGUGUGUGUGUGUGUGUGUGUGUGUGUGAAGUGUACAAAUACAACAAGUAGGUCCAAAAAAAACAACACAUUACAUUUUUUUUCUUCAUCAAUAAAAAAAGUUACAAGACACAAAAAGAUCCUACAACUACUAAGAAAGAGGAGCUAAAAAAAAUGUAAACGGGACGUCCUCCCGUCACCUAGCGUUGGUUGUGGACGCUUCUCGAGGUGUGACGUGGCCGUGGGAAUGUGACAGCAGCAUCAGGAGGAGGCGGGGCUUCCUGCCUCGCUGCCCUCGCUCACCUGGCGCUGCAUCACCAUCUCCUUGGCAACGCAGGUGAUGCUGCCAUUGGUCUGCACACCCGGAAGACCCACCCUGCAACACACAGCAAGCCUCACUGGAGAUGCUGCUCUGCCCCCUGCUGGCUUGGAGUGUGUGUGUUUGCGUGCGUGCUCACCUCUGCUGUGCCUCCUCAGUCAGAGGGGUCAUUCCUGGCUGCUUCCCAAAGAAGAAACUGGACCACCAGUGACCAGAGUCCUGUUUGGGAAGGCCUGUGGGGCACAAAUUCACCAUCAGGUUAAAAAAAAAGAAAAAGAAAAUGCCCCGCCCCCCCAGUGUGACAGACAUAUUUACAAUACACUUGAUAAAUGACCAUGUGAUGACCCCCCCAUCCCCAUAAGAACACAAAGACAACCACCUGGGUGGUGAGGAAUGACCUCGCCGCUGUACUCUGAACUGCCACACGAACUGCUGCUGGAUGUCGAUCCGAUGCGCCCUGUGGGGGAAUUGGGGGGGGUUAGUCAAAUAUGAAUGUGACCUGUGACCUCCCAUGAGUAUACAAGGCAGAAGAUAUGGGGGCUGACUUCGGUAGUAGUCGGUGGUGGCCACUAGAGAACCGCCUGCUGGAAUGGCUGCCAUGGUGCUGCUGCUUGAUGGACCUGGUGGAGACCUGUGGGGUGGGUGGGGGCAUUGUAGAGUCAACAUCCCAUAAUAACAGCAACAAGCUGAUUAUUUUUAUUAUCACUUCGUUUAUUUUGGCUCCCGUUAAACUUACUGGCCAUGACGUCACUCGCCAGCGUGUACCAACAAUGUUUAUGUUCAACGUGCGCGUUCAUGUGCUCCUUGUUGUGAAGGCACGAGACGUGAAUGCGCGCACAGGCCGAGAUGGGGUGUGGAAUCAAAUGUUUUGGGUUCGUUUUUUUUUGUUUUUUAUCCCUAACAUUUUCAUCACGUUCUAACCAUACGUAAGCUCUCGCGUCAUUAGCUGUGUCAGACAUUUUGAAGAGGAGAAGACGAGGGCCGAUGUCGCCGUUAGCAUGCUAGCCCGCCCCCCUCACAUAAUGCACAUAUGUAUGUACAUAUACAGUAUAUUAAGAAAUAAACAAAUAUUUUGUCACCUUUUAGUGAACCAGAGGCGCUGCUGAUGAUUCGAGUCAGUCGGCGAGGCUGAGGGGGUUAACGCUAGGCGACGGGGCCCAUCUGAAAGCAAUUUUUUGGGCAACGAAAGCCUCGUUUAUCUGCUGACUGCUAGUCACUGCUGCUGUGAGCUCAGCCCGUCAGCUCCGCUACUUAUACACACGCCAUGACGCAACGCAAGAGGGCGGGUCCUCUGCCAACUUCAUCUGCAGUCAUUAAAUAGAAAGUCACUGGCCACGCCGCCAACGCUACAUUAAAACUGUACAGCAUGUCAAUCUAUUUUUUGGAGCCACUCUCAGCUACUGGACAGCAUACUGUAUAUACACUUUUAAUAAAGAGAAACAUGAAGACUAACAAAAUAUAACGACAUGCAACCACCGUUAUCAUAUAUAUAUUAUCUAUCUAUAUUAUCUAUAUUUACCUUCACAGCCCUAAUUAUUAUAAUUACGUAUUCAGAGGUGAAAAGUAUCUCAUUACAUUCCCGAUACAUUAUUCCCGUUACUUUAAUGUACUAUUUUUUGUGGAUUAGAACUUUUAUAGUGUUUUUUAGGUUAGGUUUUGUUUUUUGGUUAUGGUUAGGCAGGACGGGUUGUUUCCCGAUUAAUUCAGUUUUAUUGUGUGCAUUUCGGUGACAAUGUUUUUAACGUUACGUUUGAGUUGUUGUUGAACUUCCAAUCAGUGUACAUGCAGCACCCUCUGGUGGUCAGAUGUAGGAAAAGCGACAUCGCUGGUAAACUCACUCUUCACAGCGAAGCCCAUAAAAAAAUGAACUUCAGUCAGUCAG
RNA transcript from Dunckerocampus dactyliophorus (ringed pipefish), 8071 nucleotides. It is a transcript of the gene named tyrosine-protein kinase Srms-like, with no coding region annotated. The record is from RefSeq and is a predicted model, not a curated record. The transcript is spliced from 14 exons. Lineage: Eukaryota; Metazoa; Chordata; Actinopteri; Syngnathiformes; Syngnathidae.